RNAcentral lists this ribosomal RNA (279 nucleotides) under uncultured Fusobacteriaceae bacterium. RNAcentral describes it as "partial 16S ribosomal RNA". It matches the Rfam family "Bacterial small subunit ribosomal RNA", at positions 504 to 783 of the family's 1533-position model. Lineage: Bacteria; Fusobacteriati; Fusobacteriota; Fusobacteriia; Fusobacteriales; Fusobacteriaceae. The record is from RNAcentral.
UGUGCCAGCAGCCGCGGUAAUACGUAUGUCACAAGCGUUAUCCGGAUUUAUUGGGCGUAAAGCGCGUCUAGGUGGUUAUGUAAGUCUGAUGUGAAAAUGCAGGGCUCAACUCUGUAUUGCGUUGGAAACUGUGUAACUAGAGUACUGGAGAGGUAAGCGGAACUACAAGUGUAGAGGUGAAAUUCGUAGAUAUUUGCAGGAAUGCCGAUGGGGAAGCCAGCUUACUGGACAGAUGCUGACGCUGAAGCGCGAAAGCGUGGGUAGCAAACAGGAUUAGAU